This 301-nucleotide ribosomal RNA is filed under the name uncultured bacterium. RNAcentral describes it as "partial 16S ribosomal RNA". It matches the Rfam family "Bacterial small subunit ribosomal RNA", at positions 509 to 809 of the family's 1533-position model. The record is from RNAcentral.
CAGUCGCCACGGUAAUACGAAGGGUGCAAGCGUUACUCGGAAUUACUGGGCGUAAAGCGUGCGUAGGUGGUGGUUUAAGUCCGUUGUGAAAGCCCUGGGCUCAACCUGGGAAUUGCAGUGGAUACUGGGUCACUAGAGUGUGGUAGAGGAUAGUGGAAUUUCCGGUGUAGCAGUGAAAUGCGUAGAGAUCGGAAGGAACAUCUGUGGCGAAGGCGACUAUCUGGGCCAACACUGACACUGAGGCACGAAAGCGUGGGGAGCAAACAGGAUUAGAUACCCCCGUAGUCCCUGUCUCUUACAC